GUUCAAAGCUGACUAUGUCGCAUGCAGCUGGCAGCAAGAGUUAUGCUCGUGUGGGGCAUGAACUGGCCGAGCAACAAGGACGCCCUGCGAGAAGAGAUGAAAUAUAUGUUAGAACACACACGCGUAAGAACAAAGAAGGGGAUAUUGUGCCUCUACCUGGAGCAGAAAUAUUCAUU
Long non-coding RNA from Zea mays, 176 nucleotides. RefSeq lists it as uncharacterized. The record is from RefSeq and is a predicted model, not a curated record. The transcript is spliced from 2 exons. NCBI's taxonomy places the organism in Eukaryota, Viridiplantae, Streptophyta, Magnoliopsida, Poales, Poaceae.